GCCAACCCAAAACAAUCCAAUUUAAGUAGUCUUCUUCUAUACCCAAGUUUCCUUUCAAUAUCUUCCUUUACCUUCAUAGCUUCCUCUUAUUAGUAGAAUCUUUUGAUCUUAUUUAAUGAUCUUUGGGUAGGAGAACGUCUUUCCAAUUACACCUUUUUUCUACAAUUCUCUACAGGGUUGCCAUUACUAGAUCGACUUUGUUGGGAAAGGCUGGGAUACUUCUUGGAUUAGUUGACAUUGCUGAAUCCAAAGAUGAUUAUUUAUUUCGUGUUUCACUCCCCUUGUGACACCAGGGAGUGAAACACGAAAUAAAUACUCAUCCUUGGAUUCAGCAAUGUCAACUGAUCCAUAAGUGGCCUGGCAUUUCCCAACGAAGCCGAUCCAAUAAGGACAACCCCGCCAUUAGCAUGAUUUAUAAGAUGGUUCUGGCUGGGCAAGCAGAGAAAUGGUGCAUUGCAGGCUAAUAGUUUUCUUGUGAAAGGUGGAAGGAAACAAAGAGGGUUGGGAAAAUGGCAUAUAUUUCAUGAGAUAAAUUGCCUCAGUUUGAUGAAUAUUUUAAGAGAUCUGGGAGCAGAGGGAAGGUGGGAAAAAGUUCUAUUUUUGUUUUGUAUAUGAGUAGAUUCAUAGUUGCACAAGAUUUGAAUAAAUUAAUUUUCUAUGUAAAUUUGAAGUAAUAUAUUUCGUUUAAAUAUAUUUUCAUAUUUAGAAAUUACAUAAAAGUUUUAUAAAUUGUUAUAAUUAAUAAUUCAAAAGUAUUCUAAAACAAUAAUGUGAAAAGACAUCAUCACUUGAUUCUCCAAAUAAUAUCUUGAUCAUAUAAAGUUAAAGAAAGGGAUAAUAGUUAUUAUACACUUGUAAUAGCUUUCGAAGUUUUAGUGUUAUUUGAUAGUUAUAGAAAUUAGUUUUACAAUGGCUAAUAAUGAUAAUUGUCGUAUCAUUAUCAUAGACCAGGCAGAAACUUUAUAAAUAUAAUACUAAAAACUUGAUGGGCUUAAACGAAAUGUUGCUCACCUUUUUAAAAUAGAUAUCAGACUAGACAAAAUAGCCAUCAAACAUUUUCCUAAAAUUUAGAAAUUGAAAAUACAUUAAUAUUUUGUUAUUAAUCCCACACCUUAUUUGAAUUGAAUAUACCUAAAAUUUAUUCCUUAGAAAAUACUAAAUGUUUUCCCAAUUUCGUUUGUAACAGUUUGAAUUGGUGGGAUCGUGUCAAACUUUAAUUAGUGUUCUAAAUAAACACACAACAUUACUUUACAUUUAACAUUUUAUCUCAUAAAGUUUUCUCAAGCUACGUCCAGUCGUAAAGCUGAUUGUCAUAGUUCCGUACAAUUAAUUGUCAAUGCAGAUGCCGUGUAAUAGAAAUGUGAGAUUACUGUAAUAAUGAUGAAGAUAUACUAAGUGUAAAUUCAUAAAUAGGGUCUAGAUUAAGUGAUCUUACCUCUAUCUUCUGAGAGGUAGAGAGACAGUUUCAAAAAGAUCCCGGGGAUAAUCGAGUGGAAAACAAAGAGACUAUUACAACAACAAACUUUGCUCCUAUGUCCCAAAAAAUAGAGAGGUUGUUUUUGAAAGACCCUCGAGUUCUGGUUGAAUGGAAAACAGAGAUUACAAGAACAACAAAAAACAACAACAACACGUCCAGUAUAAUUUCUUGGGUGGGAUUUGAAGAGACAAAAUGUAGAUAGAAUUUACUUCUAUUGCUCAAACAAUAGAGAGGUUAUUUUUCGAAGAUUCCUCGCGUACGUCGGUGUGUGGGGGGGGGGNNNNNNNNNNNGUUAACUUUUUGACUUGUAACUCAACUAUGUCUUUAUUCUAUCAAAUCCAUCAAACAAAUUUCCACAAUAAAAACUUAUUGAGCUUCAUUUUAAUGUCAUAAAAAGUUAUAAAAUUGAUUUCUUUUAAAAGUGAAAGAAAAAUUCACACACUAAAAUUUAAAGAACUGAAAAGGAGGCUCUAAUACAACGUAAAUUUUGCUGACUUAUCUCUCUAGUUGAGAGUUCUGUCAUUGAAUAGAAGGUCUUGUCCUUGUACAUCCCUAAAGACCGGCCAUGAGUACCCUAAUAUUUGUAUUCCCUAAUAUUUGUCAUUCUUAGAUCUUACAUUUUUAAGAAUUUCUCCUAUAUCUAAGUAUUGAAAGUUAUUUACACUAGUAUUUACAAAUAUUACAUAUUUAUAACUGAAAUCUCUCUAGAUUGCCGGACAAAUAUUAUCUGUCCAUUAACCUAACAUGUAUAAUAUUCAAUUUUCAAGUAUAAAAGAAAUUUAACCUUCAAUAAUUGAAUGGUGUAUGGGACUAUCCUUGAUACAUAAGCAAGGUAGUUCAGGGCAUUACCAAGAUCAGAGCACAAGAAAAAGUUCUUUUGCUCAUGCUAAGGGAAGGCAAUAUAUGGACAGAUUAUACGCCUAAGCUAACUUUUUAAUUUUGCACACGAUUAAAAAACUGUCAAAAACUUGAUCUAAAAAAACUGACUUCAAAAGAGGUGGAGAAAAAUCAAUCCCAUGUGGUUGGCGCUUAAACAAGUAUUAUAAGAUUUUUUAAACAAAAUCGACAUCUCAAGGUCAAAAACCCAAAAUAAAAAUUAAAUUAACCUCCUAAGAUCAAAUUCAUUUAAAAAAAAUUGCAACAGUCAAUCUCCGGAGAUUGAUUAUUUUUUUUAAUAUAAUUUUUUUUGCAAAUGACCUCAUGAGGUCAAUUUUUAAAUUUUUAAUUACUAUUUAUUUUUUUAUAAAAGUUAACUGCUGAUAGAAAUGUAUUCUACCAUAUUAAAGAUGGAAAUUUGAAUCACAAAUGGUGUAUCUUAUUAUUUUGCAAUUGAAAAUCAACCUCAUGAGAUCGACAUUGUUCAAAAUGAAAAAUAAAAAUCGACUUCCUGAAAUCAGUUUAUUUUUUUUAAAAAAAAAUUAUUUAGAUAAAAAUCUCACGAAGUUAAAAAAUACAGACUUCAUAUAACAAUAUCAUAUUAGCAAAGAUUGUCAAUAGUACAAAUUAGUUCUCAUUAAAGGCAAGUGAAAUACAUAUCUACAUAGCACAAAUUUAACUGUUCGAGAUGAAGCAACUUAGAAAUGUCAGUCUAGAUGCACAUGCGAGGGAUAUCUCAAAUUAAAUUUUAAAUCGCGAAGGAAGGAGAAAUUAAUACUACUCAACAAACAUUCUUGGCUAAAAUCUCUUACAAAAUCAGAGAAUAUGGAUGUUCCGUGAACAAGAUUACCUGGAAGUAGAGAAAGAUUUUCGAGUGCCCAAAUUAUCGAGAAUUUUCUGUCGGAGAGGAUCUAGAGUUCUCUAUUAAAAAAGAGUUCUUGAACCCGCAGUUUGACUCCCACAAACAGAUGAAUUUGAGAUUGACUGUGAAAUUGAGCGCUCUAGUAGUUAAAAUUUUCAAAUAUAAGAUUGACGGGUCAAACCGCAAAUUAUAAUAGGUCGUCACUUGAGACUUCUAUAAUAAUGCCAGUCUACAAGCCGCUUAAAAUGUAAAUAAAUCUUAAAUUGGAUUUUUUUUUUUAUUAUCUACUUUUAUACUGGAAAUUAAUUUGAUGAAAGAACUCGUUGCAUUACGGAAACUCCUUGAAAGAAUCCGAAUUGUAAGUUAACUAAUGUAAUGAUGGUGGAAAGUUUCAUAAUUAGUAAUAGCUAUGUUUAGUUCAAUCCAAUCUUCUUUUUAGAAUUAUACUAACUAUUGUACGUUGAGGAUUAAGACGCAUUCAUUCGAUCCUCUUAUAAAUACGUUGAAGAACCAUUUUCACUUUUUAACUUGAUUAAUGGUAAAGGGAUAGAUCAUUUAUUAAUAGUAUUAAUACAUUUUAAUAAAAUGUAAAGACCCAAGCUGAGGUCCUUACCACAGCGGGCAUCCCGACCCAUGAAGGCUCGGGAGACCCUUAACAUAUUAUCAUAAGCAUAAUUUACAACAAUGGAAAUGUGAAAGGUAAACUGAAACAUGAAAAUUUUUCAUAAUCAAAAUUAGUACAUCAAGACAUGAAUCUAUGAAAAUCCAAAUCUAGUGUAACAAAUUUAUGAAGCUUCUACUGAAACAGUAGUCUGUCUAAGCAGGGACAAAGCCUCCAAUCGGAGCAUGAAACUAAAAAUAAAUCAACAUGUAGAUAAAGCUCCUUACAAAGUAAGGGAGGCACACCAAUUCUGAAUGUAUAAAACAAAUCACUAUUAAGCUAGACUACGAGAUUGUAUCUCAGAACCUACAUUAUGAGACAAUGCAACUGUCAUGAGGACGGACAAUACUUGAAAUAUAUUGGCACAUAGAAAGGCCAAAAGAAAUAACUUUCAAAAUAUCAUAAUAGUCAAAACAUCAUAAAAAUCAUAACAUGGGGUCAUAUGACAUUAAAAUAGUCUGAAAACAUGUAAUUCAAUAAAAAACCGCUUUGUAAACAGCAUCAUGUUAGUCUUUAGUUCUGAGCUAGGCGGUAUACACGACAGGAUCAGAAAAAUCCCAAGGGUUAUGCAGAGUUUGACAUUAACUUGUCGUACAUUCCCCUAAUCCCAGUUUGAUGCCAGGAUUGGAUUGUCUGGCCUGGUAUAUAAUGGCAUAUAGCAAGUAUACAAUGAUCAUCCAUAUUUGAGGACAAGAUCAAUCCCGUAUUAGCAAAAAAUGGUUUUGAGCUAUUAGUUAUCUAAACGCGUGCCUUCUUGGUUAUCCACCUAAUUCUCUUUAAGCCCAUAUUUUAACCUCUUAAAAUAUGCGUACUUUCUUAAAACAUGAUCUAAUGUCUGAAAAAUUUGUAGUCUAGUCUGGUCUGAGUAUUUCAUGACAUUUGUCUAAUUUGAUAUCGUCAUACCAAGACUUUCAAGUUGUAUAAGCCACACCAUAUCGUGUCAUAUCAUAUCGUAGCCCUUUUUAUUCAAAAUCAUGUCAUUUGACCACUGCAAGGACUCAUAGGCCAAAAGAGAGUUCUCUUUUAAAACUGUUAUGAAAGCUUAAGUAAAAAUGUCUUUCUUUCAAAGCUUAACUCUUAAGGUGGUCAUAUCUUUCAUAAACACAUAGUAAAACUCUUCCAGUAAUCUUGGUGGUUUAGUUAAGCAUUCCCAUUCAUGAAAUUUGUUAAAGCUUUUAAGAGAAGGAUUACUCUUUUCAAUCAUAUUCAAUGCACAACCAUUGUAAAACAAAAACAACAUCAAAAGAAGGCUUUAACAAAAUGUUGUUCUCCUUUAGAAAAUAGAUUUCAGACUAGACAAAAUGGCCAUCAAACAUUUUCCUAAUUUUUAGAAAUUAAAAAUACAAAAUAUUUUCCCAAUUUUGAAUCAAACAUUGAAUAAACCUAAAAUUUAAUCCUUAUAAAAUACAAAAUAUUUUCCCAAUUUUGGUUGUAACAGUUUGAAUUGGUGGGAUCUUGUCAAACUUCAAUUAGCGUUCUAAAUAAACAGACAACAUUACUUUAGAUUUAGAAUUUUAUCUCAUAAAGUUUUCUCAUGUUACGUCCAGUUGUAAAGCUGCUUGUCAUAGUUCCGUACAAUUAAUUGUUAAUGCAAUUUAAUAGAAAAGAGAGAUUGCAGUAAUAAUGAAGAAGAUAUAGUCAGUGUAAAUUCAUAAAUAGGGUCUAGAUCAAGUGAUCUUACCUCUAUCUUCUGAGAGGUAGAGAGACGGUUUCGAAAAGAUCCUGGGGAUGAUCGCGUUGAAAAGAAAGAGACUACUACAACAACAAACUUUACUCCUAUGUCCCAAGAAAUAGAGAGGUUGUUUUUGAAAGACCCUCGAGUUGUGGUCGAAUUGAAAUGAGAGAUUACAACAACAAAAAACAACAACAAUAAAAACUAAAACGAUAUGUCUAGUAUAAUUUCUUGGGAGGGAUUCGAAGAGACAAAAUGUAGAUAGAAUUUAAUUCUAUCCCUCAAAAAAUUGAGAGGUUAUUUUGGUAGGUUCCUCGUGUACGUCAGGGGGGAAAAGAGAGAGAGACUAUAUGUUAACUUUUUGACUGGUAACUCAACUAUGUCUUUAUUCUAUCAAAACCAUCAAACUAAUUUCCAUAAUAAAACUUACUCAAUUUCUUUUAAAUGUCAUAAAAAGUUAUAAAAUUGAUUUCUUUUAUAUGUCAAAGAAAAAUUUAGACAUUAAAAGUUAAAGCAUUGAAAAGUCGGCGCUAAUACAAUGUUAAUUUUGUUGAUUUAUCUCUCAAGUUGAGAGUUCUGUCCUUAAAUAGAAUGACUUGUCCUCUUACAUCCCUAAAGACCUGCCAUUAUGUAGUGUAUGACUUGCUGGGACCAACGGUUCGGUUACCUUCGUUUGUUUUUUUAGAUCAAAUUCCCUAUCUAGAAGUCUUUACUGGUUUAAAUGGCCACUGAGUGAAAACUUCAACGAAACGAUCUCGGUUGUAAAUUCUGACUGCGCAGACAGUUCUUAAAUAUUGAUUUUAGUCUAAUUCGACCUUUGAUUCGAUUUCCAACACACGCGAGCUCAUUUCGACCUAAUAGUCGGAAAGUUGUAAAAUCGAAAUUAUAUGUGUGGGACCUACUUUUUGCAUAAACGACCUUGUAUGGAAAUUUCAAUGAUGCAAAUGAAUUUGAAUUGUUUUACACCCAAAUUUUACCAUUGGAUCAUAUAUUUUUUGUUCCGGAUGAGUUUUGAGGGUCAAAAACAAGUUUUUGACCUUGCUGUCAUAAGGUACCGCAUCUCUUCUCCGAGGUUGUCUAUAAAUAGACCCCACGGUCGCAAAUUUGUGUCUUGUGGGUGUUUAGGGAGUUUGGUAAACAUCUUUGAUCAUGAUUAUCAUCCUGAUUAAGGUAAGAUUUCAUUACUGUAUUGGUGAAUUUCUUAGUUCUUGAUUCAAAAUCUCAAUUUUUAGCUUAGGUCUUGAUUUAACCCUAAAUUUGAUUUGUUUUCACCCAUUAAUUGAGGGUUAUGAUUCCUUGGUUAUGUAUGAGCAUUGGGUUAACAUCAAAAAUGUGAUUUUCGUACGGGGGACCCACUUGGGAUUUUUGGUGUUGUUUUUGGAUCCGAAGCACAAUAGUUCAAUAUGGGUAUCAUUAAACUCUUAUUGAUCAUUAGAUUAUAUUUUUUGAUAGUGUGAUGACAUUUUGGGGUUUGUGAAGUGAAGACGAGCAUGUGGUGCUUGAAGUGUGAUUUUGCUGUCAAGGCCUUGUCCACUUUCCUUUAUAGAUGAUGUAUGACAUGUAUUACAUGUGGAUAUGAAUAUUAGGAUUGAUUAUGAGUAACAUAGCUUACCCUUGAUUAUUGAUGUUUUUUGAAAUUAGAUGAUGAUUUUGGACCCGUAAGAUUGUAUGUUUAUAACCUGCUGGAGUCCUAUUGCCUUCUCCCUAGUUUAGAUAGCAUUAUAGCAUGGAUUUGAUAUAUUUCUAGAUUAUGUAUGUGGUUUUAGUAUUGGAAGCAUGAUUAUUUUAUUGAUCUUAUUGGUCCAGUGUGACAUUCUUGAAACCAUAAUUUGGAUAGAACUGACUUAAGUGCCCUUUUUUCUAGUUGAAGUUCCUAUCUUAGGCUUGUAUGUGGCUUACUUGAUAUCUAGAAGUUGAACUAGAUAUCUUAUCCUCAUUUGGGGCAUAGUGUACCUAAUUAAAGAAAUUAAGGUUUAGAAGUUGGAUUGUCCGGCCCACUUAGGCCUAGACUUUUGUUAGUCAUUGUGUAAUUAGUUGCAAAUGUUAAACAUAGUUGAGACUAGUAAACCUUAGUAUAAUAUUACUUUGCGAUUAGGUAUAUUGUAAUGAUGUUUCUAGGAUUGUGACUUAUGAGUUAUAGCUAUGUUGUUUGUUAUAGAAAUGAUGUGAUAAAAUGGACCCAUAAAGAUAUUAUUUCCUCCAACACUUGUUACUUGGACCAUAGAUAUGCCAUUUCCUCUUAGACUUGAUAGUUGAACCAUAUAGAUGUUGUUUCCUCUUGGACAUGAAGUUGGGUCCUUAGAGAUAAUUUUCCUCUUAGAUCUGAUGUUGGGCCUAUAGAGAUGCUACUUCUAUUUAGAUAUUAUAGUUGGCCUAGAGAGGUGAUAUUCCUCACUAUCAUGAUGAAUGACCUUUAUAUAUUAAAUGACUUAUAGUUACAUCAUGCUUAUUGAUAUUAUGCCUCCUAUGUGAGAGAUGAUUAUAUGCUUAUUGAUAUUAUACCUCAUAUAUUCGCGAUGCCCCAUAGAUGUGAGAUGAUUAGAUAUAUGCUAUGACAUGUAACUAUGAUUAUACAGAUGUGUUCCAGAUAUGUAUAUGGGCCGAAGGACAUGAUGAUGAUAUUUUGAUUAUUUUGGAUAUAUUAUUGGGCCGAGGGUCUAUAGCUGAUAUUGAUUGGACAUACGGGAAGUGUUUAUCCUUGUUGAGGAUGCGGCUCCAGUUCAUGAAUAUAUGUAUAUAUAUAUGUGUAUACACAUCUCUCUAGUAUGGGAUGAAGAAUGGUGUGGUAUGAUUCUUAUGAUUUCACUGAUUGAAUACUGGUGAUGGAAUGCAUGAUUAGAUACAUUCAUGAUUAUUAUAUCGAUUAUUGAUGUGACUCUAGCUGAAUGUGAUCUUAUGACUGUUCUUCCCAAUUAUGGUAUAAGCUACGUGGUAACUAGUUGUCUAUUAGGUGACGAUAGUACUUAAUGCUUAGAAUUCUAAAUACGUUAGUUAAUGAGCCUUACUUAGUAAUAUAGCAACUAACGACUAGAGUUGAUACAUGGCUAUGAAAUUGGGUUUAUCAAUGGUAGUGAUAUUUGGUUAUUGAUAACAAGUUGUAAUGUCGAUUAGUUGUUAAAUUAGGAUAAUGUGGUCAACAUUGAUAGGUCUUAAGGAAUGCUAGUGAUAAUGAUUCCUAGUUAAUAUUAAUGCCUCAUUACUGAUGCUAACUAGCUAAUAAUGAGGCCUAUGGUGAACAGUAUUAGAUAUUGAUUUGUGUUUGUUAAUAAAAGAUGCUUAGUUGAUAAAUGAUGAAUAGUGAAUAGAUGGAAAUUAUGGAUUAAUGGUGAACUUUGACUAGACAUUAGGCUUGGCUAGUUAUUGAUUAAUGGUUAGUUGCUAUUCCAUGAUUAAUGAUUAUGUGAAGAAUCGGCUAGAUUGAUAACUAAAGAUAAUUUUAUGACUAGUAUACUAACGGUAUAAUAAUGAGACCUGAGCAAUUAAUAAUGAGUAGAUAGAAUAUAAUGAUAAGGUAUUUAUCUUUACGAUAUUAUGAUUAUGGUUAUGAGUAUAUCGAUUUGCGUCUGUACACCUAUUGUAUGCCUAUAUGUAUAUGUUGAUAGUUACGUUGAUAUAUUGAUACUUGGCUAGGCUGGAGGAUAUUGUGAUGACAUAUUGAUACCCGACAAGAUUGGAGGAUAUUAUGAUGAUAUUGAUACCCAGUUCAAGUUCGGAGAAUACUAUUGAGAUGAUAUUAAUACACGGCAAGACCGGAGGAUAUUAUGAUGAUAUUGAUAUCCGGUUUGAGUACGGAGAAUACUAUUGAGAUGAUAUUAAUACCCGACAAGGUCGGAGGAUAUUAUGGUGAUAUUGAUACCCAGUUCGAGAUUGGAGAAUAAUAUUGAGAUGAUAUUGAUACCCAAUUCGAGACUGGAGAAUAAUAUUGAGAUGAUAUUGAUGCCCGACAAGGCCAGAGAAUAUUAUGAUGGUAUUGAUAUGAGGUUCGAGUUUGAAGAAUACUAUUGAGAUCAUAUUGAUACCCAACAAGGUCGUAGGAUAUUGUGAUGAUAUUAAUACUCGAUUCAUGUUCGGAGGAUACUAUUAAGAUGAUAUUGAUUUCCGGCAAGGCCGCAGGUUGAUUACGAUGAUGAUGGUCCUGAUGAGGACAGUUAUUAUGAGUUGUGAUAUUGUUGGUAUACUUUGCAUUCAUUCCUGCAUGCGCGUCGCCUAUCACCAGUAUGCACCUAUAUUUAUUAGCCUGUAUGGGAUGGUUGCAUAGAUACAGGUGAAGGAUAUGUCUUGUAUUGUUGUAUCUUGAUUGAACCUUCCGAGCCUGGGGUGGUGGGGGUACACAUAGGCUCGUCUAGGUAUUUGUUUUUCUGGAGUAUUCGAUUCUUAAUGCCGUUAUUGAUAUUGUUAUUAUCAUUGUUAUGAUCAUUAUUAUGGCUAGCUAUGACAGAUUGGUCAUUGAUCCGGUAUCGGAAUUUGAGGUAUGUUUUUCGCCUCUCCUAUCUUAUCAUUGUGUUAUUAUGCAUAAGUAUUUCAUGUCUAGCCAUGUGGAUUAGAAUCCCCGAGUAUGAUAGUAUUUAACUCAUGAUAGUAUUUUAAUGAGGUCUUAAAAUGAGAACAUGAUGAUCUAGGUUAUGUUUGAAAAAAUCUUCUGUUAAUAUUUUUAUAUAUAUAUAUAUAUAUAAACAACGAAGAAAGGGAUAUAUGAAGCCAUGGUACUAUCAGAUAUCCCUUCCUUCGUUGUUUAUAUUGUAUAGUCGUUCGUUCGCCUUGUAUAUUACAAAAAAGUAAUAUAUCUUUCUUUCAUUCUUUAUUUUUAUAUUGACCAGGGAUAUACAGUAUAGUAUUGAAACAUAUUGAAUGUAGCUGGAAUAGGAUAGUUCACCUUGAUACUUCCUUAGUCUUAUGAAGUUAGACUCUUGGACAUGAAUAGGAUAGUUGUCCCUUGUUAUUCUCAUUGACUUAUUACAUGAUUUACGGACUCUUGGUUGUAGUUUCAAUUUUAUUUAUAUGUUGUAUAUAUCUACUUUAUCUUUGGAGCUAUGUUGGCAGUUGCCUACUAAGUACCAUUCAUUUGGUACUCAUACUACACCUCUGCAGCCUGCAGAUCAUAAUACGGGUUAUCGCUAUUGAUAUGUGCAUCAUGCAGAGUAGCCCUAAUUCAGAGACAUAGAGUGAGCUCCUGACGUUCUGAGUAUUACUUAUCUCUCUCCUAUGUAUUAGAUUAGCCUCUAAGUUGUAUUCAGAGAUAUGUUGAAUCAUGUAUUUUUCCUUGAUAUAUCACUUUUGAUCUCUUAUUAUGUUUAGAAGCUCUUGUACUGAUACCAUUAGGUUUCAGGAUUCUUUUGCGUAUUGAUCUUUAUUUCAUAUAUUCUACAUUCUUUUUCUUAUAUUAUUGAGUAAUCUGUUACUAGCUGUUCCGGACAACUGGUUGGUUUGCCUACUUGUGGGUUAUGGUAGGUGCCAUAAUGAUCUGAUAAAUCAAGUCGUGACACAUGAAUACCCUAACCUGCCAUGAAUACCCAGAUAUCUCUAUCCCCUAAUAUUUGUCAUUCUUAGCUCUUACAUUUUUAAGAAUUUCUCAUAUAUCUAAGUAUUAAAAGUUAUUUACACUAGUAUUCACAAAGAUUACAUAUUCAUAACUGAAAUCUGUCCAGAUAGCUCGAAAAAUAUUAUUUGUCCAUUAAGCUAACAUGUACAAUAUUCAAUUUUCAAGUAUAAAAGAAAUUUGACCUUCAAUAAUUGAAUGGUGUAUGGGACUAUCCUUGAUGCAUAAGCAAGGUAGUUCAGGAUAUUACCAAGAUCAGAGCAGAAGAAAAAGUAAUUUUGACUCAUGCUAAGGGAAGGCAAUAUAUUCACAGAUUAUACCACUAAGCUAACAUUUUAAUUUUGCACACGAUUAAAAAACUGUCAAAAAAUUGAUCUAAGAAAACUGAUUUCAAAAGAGGUGGAGAAAAAUCAAUACCAUGAGGUUGACGCUUAAACAAAUAUCUUAUAAUUUUAUAAACAAAAUCGACAUCUCAAGAUCAAUUUUUAAAGCGUGAAAAACCCGAAAAAAAAGAAGAGAAAACUAACCUCCUAAGAUCAAAUUUAUUUAAAAAAAAAUUGCAACAGUCAACCAAGGAGAUUGAUUCUUUUUAAUAUAAUUUUUUUUUUUUGCACAUGCCCUCCGGAGGUUAAUUUUUAAAUUUUUAAUUACUAUUUUUUUUUUUGAUAAAAUUUAACAGGCGAUAGAAAUGUGUUCUACCAUAAUAAAGAUGGAAAUUUGAAUCACAAAUGGUGCAUCCUAGGAAAUUUGAAUCACAAAUGGUGCAUCCUAUUAUUUUGCACCUGAAAAUCGAUCUCAUGAGAUCGAUAUUGUUCAAAAUGAGAAAUAAAAAUUGACUUCCUGAAAUCAGUUAACUAAAGUAAUGAUGGAGGAAAGUUACAUAAGUAGUAAUAGCUAUGUUUAUUUCAAUCCAAUCUUCUUUUUAGAAUUAUACUAAUUGUUGUACGUUGUGGAUUAAGACUCGUUCAUUCGAUCUGCUUAUAAAUACAUUGAAGAAUCAUUUUCACUUUUUGACUUGAUUAGUGGUAAAGUGGUAGAUCAUUUAUUAAUAAUAUUAAUACUAGUUUUAACACAAUGUAACGACCCAAGCUGAGGCCCUGACCACCACGGGCAUCCCGAACAAUGAAGGCUUGGAGACCCUUAGCAUAUUAUCAUUAGCAUAAUUCAUAUCAAUGGAAAUGUCGAAGGUAAACUUAAACAUGAAUCGUUUGCAUAAUCAAAAUUAGUAUAUCAAGACAUGAACCUAUGAAAAUCCAGAUCUAGUCUAACCAGUUUAUGAAGCUUCUAUUGAAACAAUAGUCUUUCUAAACAGGGACAAAGCCCCCAAUAGGAUCACGAAACUAAAAAGAAAUAAACAUACGGAUAAAGCACCUCCACCAACUCUGAAUGCUUAAAGGAAAUCUACUAUGGGACUUUGUCUCAGAACAUACAUUAUGAGACAAUACAGCAGCCGCGAGGACGAUCAAUACUGGAAAUGUUUUGGCACAUAGAAAGGCCAAAAGAAAUAACUUUCAAAAUAUCAUAAUAGUCAAAACAUCAUAAUAAUCAUAACAUGGGGUCAUAUGACAUCAAAAUAGUUUGAAAACAUGUAAUUAAAUAAAAAAAAUCUUUGUAAACAACAUCAUGUUAUUCUUUUGUUCUGAGCUAGGCCGCAUACCCAACAUGAUCUAAAAAAUCCCAAGGGUUAUGCAAAGUUUGACAUUAACUUGUUGUCCAUUCCCCUAAUCCGAGUUUUCCGUGAGGAUUGGAUUGUUUGGUAUCGUAUACAACUGCAUAUAGCAAGUAUACAAUGAUCAUCCAUAUUUCAGGACAAGAUCAAUCUCGUAUUAGCAAAAAAUCAUUUUGAGCUAUGAGUUAUCUAAAGUCGUGUCUUCUUGGUUAUCCACCUAAUUCUCUUUAAGCCCAUAUUUUAACCUCUUCAAAUAUGCAUACUUUCUUAAAACAUGGUCUAAAUUCUGAAAAGUUUGUAGUCUAGUCUGGUCUGAAUUUGUCAUGACAUUUGUUUUAUUUGAUAUCGUCAUACCAAGACUUUCGAGCCGUAUAAGCCAUAUCAUAUCGUGUCAUAUCAUUUCAUAGCCCUUUUUAUUCAAAAUCAUGUCAUUUGACCACUGCAAGGACUCAAAGGUCAUAAGCGAGUUCUCUUUUAAAACUGUUACGAAAGCUUAUGUAAAAAUGUCUUUCUUUCAAAGCUUAACUUUUAAGGUGGUCAUCUCUUUCAUAAACAUAUCAUCAAACUCUUCAAGUGAUCAUGGUUGUUUAGUUAAGCAUUCUCGUUCAUGAAAUUUGUUAAAGCUUUUAAGAGAGGGAUUACUCUUUUCAAUCAUAUUCAAUAAACCACCAUUGAAAAACAAGAAUAACAUCAAAACAAAUGAUAAUUAUAAAAACCUUCCUCAAGCAAAAUUCAGAAAGAAAAUCAUUCACAGCCUUAUCAUUUUCACAAAUCACAAUUCAAUAUGCGCACAUACAUAUGUAUGAACCCAUUAGAAUGCACAAUUGAGUAUGGAUGCAAAUCUUGAAAUUCAUGCUCUCGUUGUGAAUGAAAAUCUAAAUUCUGCAACACUGAAAAGAGCUAAAAAAAAAUUAUGAAUUCUAACCACAUAAGAUUUAGGUCGUUGUAUGUACCUCUAAUGGAGAGAAAUUAAAUCAAAGUUUACGCUUGGAUCUUGGAAUCCUCAAACCAUAGGAAGUUUUCUCCUCUCUUUCUCUUAGAAUGAUGAUCAGGUAUUCACUAAAGGGUGAAAGCAUUUUUAAGGAUCUAAAAUUUUAUAUAUGUGAUUUGGAAUGACUUAGAAGUGUGAAAAGACCAGCGUGCCAUUAAAAUAUUACAAAAACAAAUUAAUUUUGACAUACUGAACAGGGUCGCGCCAUCACAAACUUCAGGAUUCAUGGGGCAAACCUCAUCACGAACAUCAGGUUUCAUGGGGAGAACUCUAUCACAAACGUCACGGUUCGUUGGGCAAACCCUUAAGCAAACUUGAAGCUGUAGCUCUAUAACACCCCAAAAUAUGAUCCCCGAGAUGUCACACGGUGCUAGAUAUAGAUGGUGAUGCUCGAACUACUCACGCUGCUGAUGGUGAGCACCUGAACCUACAUUAUGAGACAAUACAACACAUAGACGUAUAGGUGGAUCAUUACAUUGAGGAUGUACUGAGUAUAUGAGGGUGAUAUGAAUAAGUAAAACAUCAUAUUAUAAUCAUAAUUUAUAAAACAAUCCAUGCUAAAUGUAAAUGACUCACGAAUAUCUGAAAUAUUGAAAUAUGUAAUCAUGGAUAGCAAAUCAUACUUUAUAAAUUUAGUGAGCCAUAACAUUUAGUUCUAAAAACUAUACUUAUAUUUUCUCUUUAAAUCAUAGUGUCGAAGUGUAGAAAGGACUCACUCUUAAGUCAGAAAACUGUAAGAUGAAAUUUCUAACUAUAAUCUUUCGGUAAAGUAUAAUCUGAAAUAAAGUUGUGAGCCUUUACAUUUAGUUUCUAAAAGCUUUUCUAUAAAUCUUUUCUGUAAGAGAAAAUACUUUAUCUUUUAUUUGAAAGCUUAUAUGUAAGGGAGGUUCUUUUAACCGACAUAAACCAUGCGAGCUACAUGGAGUCCAACGUCGCAUCCUCCUAAGGAAGAAACCUCACAUUGGGGAGAGGUGUCAUACUCUUGCCAGGGAGUAUAACCUCAUCUAUGUGAUUACAUAUCUGCCCACUAUGGGCUCUUAAUCUCAAAUCUAUGGUGGCACGUAGUUUUGGGGUAUGAGACCUUGGAAUAAUACCCAACUCUGUGCUACAUACUACUCCCUUUAAUUUGAUACACUCAUCUAAUGGAAAUUCAUCGUGUCAGAGCUCAUAACUCAGAUUAGGUGGUAUCCCUUCUAUCUAUAUGAUAUGUUUCCUUGCCUGGUGCACUAAAUUUUUCUAUAAAAUACAAGUUUCUAUAUAAGAUUGUUGCUUCAUCAAACUUCUAUAUGCAACUAGCAUAGCGUGAAUCUCAUCUAGCCUAUAAUCGAAUCGAACUCAGUUCUCUUAAUAAGAUAUUUUUGGUUAGCCUCUCAAAGAGCUUCGUCUAUUACUUAUAUAUAUAUCACAUGAAGCCUCCCUACUUUAUUCCGGAUACCCGCGGAUUUCUCAAUACAAAUACCAAGAUAGACGCGAGAAAGCUAGUCGUCCUCAUCUUUCUUUUACGCUUUCUUCUCUUAUGAGAUUUAGAGGUUCUGGCAGCGGUGUGAAACUAUAUGAGAAUGAGGACUGAAUGAAAUGCCAUAACUUCAGUUCUAACUCCUUCCUCUCCUUCAGUAGUGAACUCAGGAAAAGACCUAUCAAUCUAUUUGAUUUCCCAUCAAGCCAAGCAAGGUUCACUCACUGAACGUUGUACUUCCUAUAUCUAUGAUAGUAGAGUUAGCCUGUCUUUGCCGACAGGUGAUUUGGCAAGCGAUGAGGCCCAUCUUAAAGGGGUGGGUCACUCUCCUUUCUUUAAAGGUGUCCCUGCUUCACUCUAAGGAUGACAUAUGAUUAACUAGCACAGGAGAGAGAGUUAGACUUGACUUUGUCAUUUCCUCGCUUAAUCUCAUAUUAGUCAGUCUACUUGCCCAAAGCUACUACCUCAGAAAAAGUGAACCGAGGGAAAGCUAUCAUAACAGACUAGUUCUCUUAUUCACUGGGGGAGUCUAGGGAAUUUAGAAUAUGUAUUCAGAAGAGGUUGAAUGGCCGAAAUAAGAGGUCGAUAGCCUUCUUUCUAUUUGAAUUUGAACCCAAAGUAUGAUUCGAACCUACCUUUAUUCAUAUAAACUAAUUGCUCUACCAACUAGCCUUCUGGGUGGGCUUAAGACACUGAUAUGCUAGAUCUAUAUACAACCUUCUUGUAUCAUGGGUUUGAAUCCCAUACAAGCUAUAUAACCAUGUAGCGUUGGGCUUAACCGAGACUAGAUUGGAAGAAAUAUGGAGGUCUACGUUGAUGGCAUGCUUAUUAGAAUCAGAGAGGUUCUGGACAUAGUGGCAAACCUAAAAGAGACCUUGGACACCCUCAGGAAAAGGGGCAGACUGAAGUCAUUAAUAAGACUAUCCUACAAGGUCUCAAGACCAAACUUGUGAAAGUUAAAGGGUGCUUUGACCGGGGAUUCACACUCUCAAUAAUACCCAUACUACCACAGGAAAAACCGCUAUAGAAGCUAACCUAUUGUAAUAUCUUAAACCAAUUUUGAAAGGGAGGGAGAGUUUUUUUAUAUCAAGGCGCUCGAAAGCUAAAAGCUUUUCAUCAGAAGACAGAAAGGAAGUACCUAUUUUCUACUAUCUCAGUAGGUGAAGAGGUAUUAAAUACCAAUUUUAGCAGAAAGGAAGGCAUUUACAGUGGAGAGGACAGCAUAAAAGUAUAAAAGUUCUGACUUAGAUCAAAGAAGGUGUUAUGGGUCGGCCUUGGGAAGUCGAGAAAAACUUUCUUUACCAUUAAGAUUGAACUGCUCUAGGGCUUAUUCCAUCUUCAAUUCAUAGCAUGAAAGUGAAAGUCUCAAUCCCAGUUCCGUAUUAAGAAAGUAGACGGACAGAACUACUAGAGCUUGUUAGGAGCCCUUAGGAUUGGUCCUCAUCUAGUCGAGGAAAAAUCCCUCUAAAGCUUUUAUAGGGGACAUCUUUUCUAAUAUGCCUUCCCUGGACAAGGAUUUUAUUUAUGAUUUUCUUUACCUUGCCUCCUUUUCCCCAUAAGCCUUAUCUGCACGUGAAUAAGAGUAAUCAUUUACCGAAUCUACAUCAGCCGAAGCCUUUGCUUUCUCUCUUCCCUCUUUCUUUGCUAACCUCUAUUCCAUUGAAUGCUAUUAAGUCUGGAAUUGAGCCAAACUAUUUUUGUUAUAGCUUUCUUCCAAUAGAAGAUUCAUUCGCAAGAACCGAUGUCGUACAUCUUCAGUGUAAUGAUCCAUAAUCUAACUAACUAUUUUAAUUAACUUAACUGUAUUCUUUUCUUUCAAAUCAAGCUCCAUAUUCUACUUUUAUUUUUUCAGUCCUUCUAAAAGAAAGAUAGCAAGAGGCUAAGUUAUUCACUUGCGCCUGGGCUUUGUUUUUUGAGUAAAGGUUCUAUGGUGAAGAUCCUGGUCAAGGAUACCCUAUUAAAGAGAACAUUCGGGGACCUAUGGUUAUCUCUUCCUUAGUUUCCAAAUCUAAUGGAGGUUUAAAUUCAAUGGAUCCACCGUAAUUUGUAUGUCAAAUGAGGCCUCGAUGGAGAGAUAGAUGGGAACUCCUACUCUGACUAGAGUUUUGAUUUCUAAGAGGGAUUUUCAGUCAUCUAUCCCUUUUGUUUCCCUAGCGAGUGAAGAAGGAGUGGAUGUUUUGAAUGAGUGUUGAGCGAGUGAAGUGCCCUAUAAAGAAGGGCGAGUUGUAUGUAUAAAUUCGAUGAGCAAUGAUUUCACAUCAGGUUCCAAGUGCAUCCAGCAGGAACUGAACCUACGAAUUCGCCAUAUCAAACUCGAUAAACUUGAAUCUUGAGAUAGAGAAAUACAAUUAAUGGAUGGAUUCCUUCAUUAAUCAUAAUGAAACCAUCCAGCAACUGGUAGUAACAAAACCACCUUGUUGUGGAGAUGGCCGACGAUUGGGCCUCAAAAUAUUUUAUUUGGAAGGAAUGCUUUCACAAGCGGUAGAAAGAGACGAUGUUCGAUAUUUACCUAUAUAGAUAACCAGUCAACCUCGAUACACUUAACAUAACAGAGUCCUUUUUUAUGCUUGUUUUUUUUGCAUACAGACUAGAUGAAACGAAACUAAAAUCCCCAUAGAUGCUUGAACAAAAAGAUAACCUAAGGCCAUAGCUGACGUUCUUGUUAUUGGACACGUGAGAUAUCCCAGCAUUAGAGCAUUGAUUUUUCCUUUCUUUCUUCUGUGCGAAGGCGAAACAAUAAGAAAAAAAACGUUCAUUUCAAAACUAUCAGGUGAGAAGAACAGAGAAAAGAAAGAGUUUUCAUGAAAGCUACGGGAAAGUCAAAUAAUUUCUUUUUUAUCAAUGAGAUAAAUAUGAAAAAGGAAUAAUUCUAUCUAAAGAGAUGAGAUCCUUGCUCCUGACUAAUGGAAGCAAGGGGCCGAGUUAUUCUCUAAAACUAUAAUAUAAAACAAGUAAACCUGGAAUCUUCAAAGAGAACUUUAAAGAAAUGUCAUAUAGGGAAAGUCCAGCUUCAAAUCCGACUUCUAACUCCCUCAUCUUAGAGUUCUCGUUAGAGCAAAAGUAAGGCACUAAGCGAAGAGCUCAAGGCCAGUAAAAUCAGUCUAAGAGGCUAAGGAAGAGUUGGGGUAAUGUUUUGUGUGCCAAUUGAACUCACACUUAGAGAAUUUGGCAUACACCACAUGAUCCUUAACGGUCUAAAGCACGAUUCGUAGGUGAUUAGUAUGAUCUUCCUCACUCUGAGAGUAAACUAAAAUAUCUAUGACGAAAUCAAUAACAAAUAGAUCCAAAAACUGAUGGAACACCCUAUUCUGAGGUCCAUAAAUGUACAAAGGCAUUAGUCAGACUGAAGGAGAAAUGACCAUUAAUUCAUAGUGACUUUAUCGGGUUUGAAAAUUUUUUUUGGGAAUGUUAGCCUCCAUUACCUUAAACUAAUGAUAACCCAAAUAGAGGUCUAUCAUAGAGAAAUAUGUAGCACCCUAAAGCUGGCCAAAAAGAUCAUCAAAUUCUGGGAAGAUGGUACUUAUUAUUGACAAUGGCUUUAUUAAAUAGACAGUAAUCUAUACACAUACAGAGGGAGCAACAUUUCUUACGCAUGAAGAGAAUAGGAGCACCCUAGGGCGAGACAUGAGGAUGAAUGAAGACCUUAUCAAGAAGAUAUUUUAACUGCUCAUGCAAUUCUUUCAAUUUCAUAGGGGUCAUUUUAUAUAAUGGAAUAGAAAUAGGCUGAGUGUUUGGCAACAAGUCAAUACCAAAAUCUAUUCCCUAUCUGGGGUAUCCCAAGGAGGACUUCAAGGAAUUUAAUAACUACUGAGACCGACUGGGGAGAAUGACUUUCAUUGCUAGAAUCAUUAACCUGAAUGGGGAAGGGGUUUGGAAGAAAGGGGAAGCUCAGUCCUUGAUAUGUUGCCCCAUAUUUGGUUUUGAGGAGGGUCGGUAACAUUGUGUAUGAGUUGGAAUUUCCCUCUAGUGUGGGUUCUAUACACCCGGUGUUCCAUGUGUCGAUAUUAAGGAAGUUCGUGGGUGAUCAUUCAUUGGUUAUUACCAUAUAGAGCAUUGGUAUUUCAAACUCCUUGUCUUAUGAGGAAGACCCGGUGAUGAUCUUGGAUCGAUAAAUUCAUCAGUUAUGAAAGAAAGACGUGGCUUCAAUAAAGGGUCUCUGGCAGAACAAAAAGUUCAAGAAAAGUACUUGGAAAAAUGAGGAGGACAUGAAGUCCAAGUGUUCGUUCCUAUUACCUAUUUUAGAAAAUUGUGCUUAAGAUAUAUGUGUUUUUAACAUCUUUGUUUUCUGGCUUUGUUAAAGGAAAACUUGCAGUUUUGUUGACUUUUUUGUUUUUAGACAUUUUAAAAGGGAAGUGUGAUUGUAUUUCUAAAUUAAAUCAUGCUAAUGAAUGCCUUGUCCCAUCAUUCGAGGACGAAUGAUCCUAAGGGGGAAGACUAAAACACCCCAAAAUUUUAGCCCUUGAAAAUUCCAAGUUUUUGACCUCACUGCCCAGACUACGACUCCUAUUAUGAUUUUUAGGGUUUCUUUACGGGUCUUAAGGACCCAAUCAUUACCAAAGUAGUGGGUGUGUCUAGGUCUUCUUUUCUGAGAAUGAAUGGCUCCCAACGAGUCGUAUGGACUCAUUAUGAGUCAUUAUGUGUCCUCCGUAGUGUGACCAAUGUGAUGCCCAAUUGUUAUUAUUCUGACUACGACUGGUGGUCAUGAGUUGUAAAGACUCAAUACGAGUCAAUUGGUCCCAAUCAUAGCCAAGUUAGUGUGUGCCUCAUGUGUUUCUUUCCUAACUAUGACUUGGACCCUAUGAAUCGCAUGGUUCCGUAACGAGUCAUAUGAUGUAAUUCGUAGAGUCACCCGUAGGUAGGCCAUAUGACACUGUCUCGAUUAUGACUCGUAGUGACGAUUCAUAAUGAUUUGUAGUCCUAGGCGACCAAAUUUUAAGUCAUAUCAUUAAGGGCAUUCUGGGUGGUACUCCUCCUUCCCUACUUAGUACCCAAGACCAUAAAGUACUAAAGGGGUUUAUUUCUCAUUUACAACUCAGCCAAAACAUUCUCAAAUCACUAAAUAUUCUCUCAAGAAACUUAGGAUUUCCAAGAGGUUGGUCAUCUAAGGGAUCCCUUACGCUUAAUGUCUUUAUUUAAUUAAAAUACAUGUUUGUUUAUGUGAUUGAAAUUAAGGGUUUUGACGUGGUUGAUGGAUUUUGACAUGAUUGGUCUCUAAUUUGAUUUCCCAUGGUUAUUUAUGCACUAUUCAUUCUUGUUGAUGGUUUUGAAACUUGUAGGGUGCAUGGGUUUGAUAAAUAAAAGGGUCAUGUUUUCCCCAAGUUUAAUGGUUUUGCCUUGACUUGUGGCUUUAGAAAUUGUGUGUUCUCUACCAAAUUGUGAAAUUGAUCAUGAUAAUGGCCUUGUCACAUGAUUUGACUUGUCUACUUGAAUGAAUGAAUUGGUAUAAAAGGUUAAUGAAGUAUAAAUGGCUCAAUAAAGGCCUUGGUUGCCAUGAAUUUAUUUGAAUUGGAGCCUUGGGGAUUGGUUGGAUAAAUGGGUUUGAGUCCCAAAUGUUUGACUAAUUUGAUGUCGCUUUUGGACAAUGGGUUCAAAUCGUAGUUGAUGAAAUAAUUGUCAUGGAAUGUUAUAAACUUUCAAGUGGGUUGGUAUGAAUAUACCAACGUGAUACCUUAAUACUUAAUUGGGUUAAUAAUCGGGAAUGUGUAUUAAAUGUUUUAAAUUGGCCUUUAAAGAUGGUUGUAUUGCCAGGUCGUGAAGGAAAUAAUUUUAAGUUGGUACGUUACAUAGAUAAAACUUUUGUUGGUACACAUACACAUUUUUGCAUGAUCAAUUGAUGACAUAAAAAAUUCAUUAUUUGAUGAAGUUAAGGGAGUCGAGAAAAAAUUGCAAGAACUUCCGAUAUGGCAUGGUUCAAAGCUUCGUCUGGGUUCUUCCGCGAAAAGUUCAGGAUAACUUCCAAAAAAUCACUUUAAGAGGGAGUGUGAAAAUACCAAUGUAGAUUUUUGGAAUCAUAGAUUUCUACUAAAGUUUCUAGAACAGUCUAAUGUAGUAUUUAGGAUAAUCAACUUGAAGAAAUAUCUAGCUAUUCUAGAGCAAUGGUUGAAGAUAAAUAUCACUAGGUUUUUAUCUUAUAGAACUUUCUAGAUAGUCGAGAGUAAUUGAAGAUAAGGAUAACUAGAUUUUCUUAUAGAAGUAUCUAGAAAGAUAGCUAGAAUCUUCCAUAGGCAAGUAUAAAUAGGAGUCACAUUAUACAUUUGUAACCUUCCAAAAAACCAACCCAAAACAAUCCAAUUUAAGUAGUCUUCUUCUAUACUCAAGUUUCCUUUGAAUAUCUUCCUUCACCUUCAAAGAUUCCUCUUCUUAGUUGAAUCUUUCAAUCUUAGUUAACGAUCUUGGGUUAGAAGAACGUCUACCCAAUUACCCCUUUUUUCUGCAAUUCUCUAUAGGUUGCCUUUACUAGAUCUACUUUGUUGGGAAAGGCUGGGAUACUUCUUGGGUAAGUUGACAUAUUGCUUAAUCCAAAGAUGAUUAUUUAUUUCAUGUUUUACUCCCCUUGUGACACCAGGGAGCGAAACACGAAAUAAAUACUCAUCCUUGGAUUCAGCAAUGUCAACUGAUCCACAAGUGGCUUGACCUUUCCCAACGAAGCCGAUCCAAUAAGGACAACCCCUCCAUAAGCAUGAUUUAUAAGAUUUUUCCACUCCUUUCUGGCUGGACAAGCAGAGAAAUGAACCAUUGCAGUUCUUGUAAAAGGUGGAAGGAAACAAAAAGGGUUGGGAAAAUGGGAGAUAUUUUUUGAGAUAAAUUACCUCAGUUUGAUGAAUAUUUUAAGAGAUCUGGGAGCGAAAGGAGGGUGGUAAAAAGUUCUAUUUUAGUUUAAUAUGUGAGUAGAUUCAUAGUUGUACAAGAUUUGAAUAAAUUAAUUUUCUAUGUAA
RNAcentral lists this long non-coding RNA (22135 nucleotides) under Capsicum annuum. RNAcentral's name for it is "long non-coding RNA (CANN_LNC021037)". The record is from RNAcentral. Lineage: Eukaryota; Viridiplantae; Streptophyta; Magnoliopsida; Solanales; Solanaceae.